UACGAAGGGGGCUAGCGUUGCUCGGAAUCACUGGGCGUAAAGGGUGCGUAGGCGGGUCUUUAAGUCAGGGGUGAAAUCCUGGGGCUCAACUCCAGAACUGCCUUUGAUACUGAAGAUCUUGAGUUCGGGAGAGGUGAGUGGAACUGCGAGUGUAGAGGUGAAAUUCGUAGAUAUUCGCAAGAACACCAGUGGCGAAGGCGGCUCACUGGCCCGAUACUGACGCUGAGGCACGAAAGCGUGGGGAGCGAACCGG
This 253-nucleotide ribosomal RNA is filed under the name uncultured bacterium. Its description in RNAcentral is "partial 16S ribosomal RNA". It matches the Rfam family "Bacterial small subunit ribosomal RNA", at positions 524 to 776 of the family's 1533-position model. The record is from RNAcentral.